AGGAGGAGUCCUCAGUCCUCUUUCCUUUCAUUUUUCCCUUUCCUUCUCUACUGGUUUUUGUUUUCUGGCUCUGAAGGAAUUGUGCAAGAUUUUCUCCAGACACAUACGAUGAUAGCCAUUCUGGUACUUGGUCUUGGUAAAGCACCUCAGAUCCCAGUUUAAUUACGUUGAGUUAGUUGUAAUAAUAUCACUAGUAGUAACACCAUGAUUGGAACAAUUUUCCUUUUAAUGAAGAGAAGGAAUAUUUCUAGCUUCCAGAUUACCCACACUGUUUUCACACAAUCUAGAUUGCUUCUAACCCAUUUAAGCCAACUUUCCCUCAAUUCACUCAGUUUCUUUCAAUAUUUGCAUUUUCUUUCAGCCUGUCAGCAUGAAAAACUCUCAUGCAGCAAUGCCUUAAAAGUCAGCGUGGUACCUUCACAAAGACUCAUGAGGCUAUUUGCUGUUGUGCUACACUUGAUAGCGAGUUUCAUUCUCUGCUUGCUGCAGACAGCCUGUCCUGGCUUAGCCAGCAUUCCUGCUCGUGGGCAGCAUCUUCCCUAACUGCCACCACCACUAGAACCACAAGUUCUCCCCUUCUCAGUAGGUCCUUCUUCCUACUCCCCCCUGGACUUGCCUUUUUAAUAGUUCAUUUAUCCAUGCAGCUUUCGAAUGACAGUAGAUUUCACUCGAGCCUCCCCCCAUAGAUUUACAUAUUUCUUAAUGAUCCUUUGUGACGUAAGUUACGAACUCAGACACACCAGCCCUUCCUCAAAUCUUCUGCUGUGUCAGAAUUUACAUACUGCCAGUUUCUUCUUUCUCUAGACUGCUUCAAAGCAACUCGCAAAUGGUUCUUUCACUGGGUGCCAGCUGCAGCCCCUCGGCCUCUACUCACUGCGACUCAGCCCGUUCCAAUGAUGCAAAGUCCAGUCCAGAUUUUCACGUGCCGAGGCCGUCCUUGAUCUUAGGGGCAAAUACCACAGAGCACUCAGCUUUUUUACAUCUUCUUUUCCCUAAACUCUGAGCCAGCUCCAUCAGCAGGUUGCCUCAUCCCCAUUUUGGAAGUAGAACCAUGAGUGAAGUUCUGUGUGGAUGCACCCAUCCUCCCUACUUGUGUUUUCUGUUGCCGCAAUUUUAUUACCGGCGUGAUGUGCACUUCUUGUAAAUCCAUCAAAAACGUAUCUGAAGCAUACUCGGGAACAUAUUAAGCCUAGGAACCUGAUGUCCUUUUAUUUCUGUCCCCGAAUAACGAUUAGGCAUCUAUUCCCACACUUGACCAUGUCUCGGAUUUGCUGAUUUGCUGAUUUUCUUUGCCCGUGUUCAUCUUUCCAAGUUUUGAGUGAAUGGGCACUUCUCUGAGCCAUUGAACGUCUCCUGAGAAAUAAUUAAGCCAUGGAAUUCCUCGCUUGAGAGGGCAACUAUGAACCCAGACGCGUAGUCCUGUGAAGGCUUCUGAAUUUAAAAGCCCGAGAGCAUUGCCGUCUUGCUCAGCACAGAUAU
This 1479-nucleotide long non-coding RNA is filed under the name Equus caballus (horse). RNAcentral describes it as "lncRNA (ENSECAG00000047629.1)". Lineage: Eukaryota; Metazoa; Chordata; Mammalia; Perissodactyla; Equidae. The record is from RNAcentral.